RNAcentral lists this long non-coding RNA (1522 nucleotides) under Homo sapiens (human). RNAcentral's name for it is "BAALC antisense RNA 1". The record is from RNAcentral. Lineage: Eukaryota; Metazoa; Chordata; Mammalia; Primates; Hominidae.
GCGCUGCGCCGCCCGGCCUCACUCCGCGGCCCGCCAGGACCCGGCCCCGGUGAACGGGCUCGGGGUGCCGAGGUCCGGCUGCGGGGCCGGGAAGCCACCUCCACCUUGCCGUCUGUUACGACCCCCGAGGCGCAAGGCUGAGCCCCAUCUCGCUAUCCGGGUCCGGAGGGGUUCACCUUAGAAGGAUUUUUUGAAGCUCUUGGCGCUGGCUCUAAAAGAACCCACUUCCUUGCGGAUUUCAGGAGUCAAGAAUCCUUAAACGGAGCCAAUUUGCUUUGUAAAGCCAAUUGCCCAAGUGACUUGAGUUCGAAAGGAGAUACUUCCUGGACAACUGCUAUAAAAACAACAACAAAUACUUUUAUUAAUUCGGGGAGCCUGGUCACCAACUGGAUGCUCAGGGGAGAUGGAACCCUGAGCAGCCCAUGUACAUGGAAGAUCUUUAUUGCAGAGAUCUUCAAACCAGCUAGUGUGCAUUUACUCCUGCCUCUCCAUGCCUGAAGGAAGGAAUGAAGAGGUCUCUGCUGUCCAUCUGAGCCAGUGACUGGGCUGUCUCUACCAGGCCAGAAUUUGGGGCAGGCAAGAUUUUCAGCAUCCCUAAAAUCACACUAAGAAGAUAAACAUGGAAACAGCUUGGAGCUGCCCUACCCAUAGUGAGGUGGUACUGACUGGAAGACAGCUUAAACGAUUUGGAGAAAAGUGGAAUACAUUAAUCUCAGAAAACUCUACCACCUGUAGAAAGAGAGCUAAAAUGGAGACAACCACAGGCAGUCUAAGAUACGCUGAACUACUACAGAAAAUAAUGCAGCAUGAAGGAAUGCUGGAAGGUAUGGGGUCAGAGCAAGCUGAUGGAGGGUCCUUCAUUUCCAAGCCACGAGUACAGCAGGAUGUAAGGCUUAGUUCAUAAGAACAUCUCCUGAAAGACAAUCUCUAUAAAAACUGUUUCAAUAGAAAGAAUGCAAGAUGUAACUGUUUAAUAAUAGGACUGAUAUUUUAAAAAACAAAUGAACGUAAUAGAAGACUAGAUGGAUGUGCUUCUCAAAGUCCUCUCUGUGGGAGGCUUCAUCCUCACUCUAGAUGUGUUGCCUGUAGCAGCUGUUAUUGAUUACCCGCCCAUAGCCUAUCCAUACUUACUCAUCAUUCCUUUACCUACCAGUGGCAUCCUAUUGGAAGCACCUGCGACUUUCUUAGGGCUUUCUCUUGGCCAAGCAUUGGAAGGCCAGCAGUAUUGAAAAGUUAAUAGUCUUGGAAGCACUGGCCCUCAACUAAUGACAAAGAAAAAAUAUAAGAUAAAUUCCCCAGCUUCCUUGCCUCCUGAAUGGGUCAAGUCUGUGGUGUGUUCUACCCGUUUUUCAGAGGUCCCAUGUUUUAAACCCUAGCUGCUCAAGGCAAUUUCCUGAUCAUUGAUGUACUCUCUAUUGGCUAAUUUUUAGAUAAUAUGGAAUAUGCUCAAAAUAGGAUACUCAAAGAAAAAAUCAGAUGCCAAAAUUAUGUACACCGAAUGAGUUCAAUUCUGUAUAAGUGU